CGCGUACGUUCCGCGUAGAACAGAGUAUAAAUUCAGAGUUUAGGGUAAUGGGUUCGGAUUUUGGAGGAUGAAAGAUGAUGGAGUUGGGUGUUGGGGUUUUCCUUUUUGAUGGGUGUUGAAUGAAGAGUACAGGCAUUAGGUUUUUUUGUGUGUGAGGAUGAUGGGUGAAGGCGGAUUUUAGGGUUUUGUAUGACGAUCUUAUUCCAUAUUAAAAUAAAGAUGAUAGACGAAGACGGUAGAAUUUUUCUGUUAGGGUUUCUCGACGAUGGGUGAGGACGAUAGGAUUUUCUAUAGUAAUUUUUUGGGCAUGCUUUAGGAUUUUUCAGGAAUGGAUCGGGCUUGACGCAAGGAAAGGGUUCAUGAUGGAAUAUCUACAAGGGAGAUCUUGCGGUGGAAACAAUUUACAAGAUUGUGAAGGUUGAUCUUGCGGUCGAAAUUGAGUGCAGCAAAGGGCAUGGUUAACUAUAUAUCAUCCUAAAUAAGGGCUCAUGAGUGCUGAGCUGCCGCGUGCCGCAUGCCGCAUGAAAAAGUGUCAUGCAGAGGUUUAUAUGCUUACUGUAAAAGCGCCUUAGAAAGGCUAGCAUGUUUAAUAAAAUAGUACAGUGCUUUUAUCAUAUAUCCUUAUAUGCCAAUCUCUUCCCUGAUUGGCUGAUUCCUAUCCAUAUUGAUGUGAAGUUGUUUUAGAAAUUUCCUUAAUUCAGUUUUUGCAUAUAUCUGACUUCA
Long non-coding RNA from Vitis riparia (riverbank grape), 723 nucleotides. RefSeq lists it as uncharacterized. The transcript is spliced from 2 exons. NCBI's taxonomy places the organism in Eukaryota, Viridiplantae, Streptophyta, Magnoliopsida, Vitales, Vitaceae. The record is from RefSeq and is a predicted model, not a curated record.